This 76-nucleotide transfer RNA is filed under the name Chloroflexota bacterium. RNAcentral's name for it is "tRNA-Met". It matches the Rfam family "tRNA". From Rfam's summary of the family: Transfer RNA (tRNA) molecules are approximately 80 nucleotides in length. Lineage: Bacteria; Bacillati; Chloroflexota. The record is from RNAcentral. RNAcentral also lists the same sequence under 1 other name.
GGCGACGUAGCUCAGUGGUCAGAGCGGGCGCUUCAUAAGCGCUAGGUCACUGGUUCAAACCCAGUCGUCGCCACCA